This 1677-nucleotide ribosomal RNA is filed under the name Triticum aestivum (bread wheat). RNAcentral describes it as "partial small subunit ribosomal RNA". The record is from RNAcentral. Lineage: Eukaryota; Viridiplantae; Streptophyta; Magnoliopsida; Poales; Poaceae.
AUGGCAGCCUCCGUGGAGACUCACCGUCGCCCACACCCGCAGCCUGUGAUGAACGACAACCAACACAGCCACCGGUUUCACCACCCCAGCGUCUGGGGGGACUUCUUCCUUGGUUUCAGGCCAUUCUCUCCGGCGCAGUGCCUUUCCAUGAAAAACAAGGCUGAUGUAAUGAAAGAAGAGCUAAGGGCGACAAUAGUAGAUUCGGGUUCUGUUGAUCUGCCUCGGAAGCUUGAGCUUGUCGAUACUUUACAGCGGCUUGGUUUGGACUACCACUAUGGGAAGGAAAUCAAUGAUUUGUUGUGUGGGAUUCAUGAUGCCGGUGAUGAAGCCCGCGAUCUUCACACGACGGCCCUUCGAUUUUAUUUGCUCAGGAAACAGGGAUUCAAUGUUUCACCAGAUGUAUUCCUAAAGUUCAUAGAUGCCGAUGGAAAGAUUAUCUGCAACGACACAAGAAGCCUCUUGGGCAUGUACAACGCUGCCCAUGUUGGAACCAAUGGCGAAGAAACACUCAGCAGCGCGAUCACUUACACAAAAGACCAUCUCGAGCGUGCCGUGGAGCAACAAACAAUUUCACCAUCAAUAUUGCUCGAUCAGGUGCAGCGCGCACUGGAAACGCCUCUUUUUAGGAGGCCUCGAAGAGUUGAAGCGCGACACUUCAUCUCAGUUUAUGAGGGUAUGAGUACAAGGAAUGAUGCCAUUUUGGAGCUUGCAAAGCUGGAUUUCAGUAUUCUUCAAGCUCUGUACUGUGAGGAGUUGAGGGCUCUUACUCUGUGGUGGAAAGGACUGCAACUACAAGACCAUUUGAGCUUCGCACGAGACAGGAUGGUGGAGAUGCACUUUUGGAUGUUAGGAGUUUUAUUUGAGCCACAAUAUUCAUAUGGACGAAUCGUACUCACAAAGUUCUUUACAUUUAUAUCGAUAUUCGAUGACAUUUACGACAGCUACAGCACCUUAGAAGAAAGCAGGCUCCUCACCAUGGCAAUGGAAAGGUGGGAUCAACAAGCCGCUGAACACCUCCCAGGUUACAUGAAGUUUUUCUAUAGCAAAGUACUUGCUACGAUGAAGGUCAUUGAAAAAGAUUUGGAUAGUCAAGGAAACAAGCAUGCAGACUAUGUAAAAAAGCUACUAAUCGAUGCUACGAAAUGCUACUACAAUGAGGUGAAAUGGCGUGAGGAAAGCGACACACCAGUUACUGUUGAGGAGCACCUGCGAUUCUCGGUGCCUAGCUCUUGCUGCAUGCAUGUUGCAUGCCUUGCAUUCGUUGUCAUAGGAGCGAGCGGAGAUGCCAUCGAGUGGGGCAUGACCUAUCCUAAAAUCAUGCGAGCUUCUUGUGUCAUUGGCCGUGUCAUCAACGAUGUGGCUUCACACGAGCGAGAACAAGAACAGUGCUAUGGCGAGAGGUCUGUGAUGUCAACGGUGGAAGCAUGUAUGGAGGAGAACAACUACACUGCAAAGGAAGAUGCAUACAAAAAGCUCAGGGAGCUCAUAGAGGAGUCAUGGAUGGACAUCAAUGAGGAGCUCCUCAAGCCAGACACCGUGCGGCCGGCAUCGCCGCUCCUAGAGGCGGUGGUGAAUUCGACACGGAUGUUGGACUUCUUGUACAAGGAUCAAGACGCGUACACUGAUCCACGGGCUCUCAAAGUGGUAGUAGAUUCUAUAUAUGUAAAUCCUAUAUAG